GUGCCAAAAAUGUGCUUUUGGAUGAUUGACAGCCAACCUGUGAUUUUUUUCUGAUCAUGCAAGGCCAACCUGACAUGAGAAGUCUUGGGAGGAAUUCGUUCCCUGAAGAGGAGGUGAUCAGCAAAAGCUCAGGAAGAGUGGUACUGACAGAGAGGAUAAAUUCUUACCCAAAGUCACAUAAGUUGGCACAUCUGCAGGGAAACAUCACGUUAGCCUUUGAGGAGAGAGCCACUUCAGAUGAGAAAAAAGCAAAGCAAAACAAAACAAAACAAAACAAAACAAAAGAACUAUUCAGAAAAAGAGAAGCAUGGCUCAGGCCAUUUGGAGGAAACAAGAAACUGCUUCUGGAAAAUUACCGACCAGGAGGCACCGCAAACAGGGGGCUGACGGAGGUUUCUCCUGGACGCUUCUUUGAAGCUCUGAGUUGGCUGAACUCAGGUGUGUCCUGCUUUCCUGCAGCUCUGCUCUCCAUGUGUAAGAGGUUACUGAGGCAACGGGUAGGAGGUCAUUCUCAGGAGACCUUUGUAACGGAAAUUAAGAUCUCAAUCAUUCAACACAUAUUUACAGAAGUCCCACCACAUCUUGGGCACGAUGCUAGGACCUUAGGAUGUAUCAGUGAGCAAAAUUGUCUUUGUUCUCCAAGAUAUUACAGUCUUGUGGUGGGGCAGGGAGGGGGGUGGUGGAGAAGGGACAGCAGAGUCCACAGGCAAUGCCAUACAACAAAAGCUGUGACUGGGUUUCUCCAAGACGACUGUAGGAACUCAGAAUCAGAUCAUGGGAGACUUCUUGGGGGAGGCUACACCUAA
Macaca mulatta (Rhesus monkey) is the source of this 806-nucleotide long non-coding RNA. The record is from Ensembl. Lineage: Eukaryota; Metazoa; Chordata; Mammalia; Primates; Cercopithecidae.